This 460-nucleotide ribosomal RNA is filed under the name uncultured bacterium. Its description in RNAcentral is "partial 16S ribosomal RNA". It matches the Rfam family "Bacterial small subunit ribosomal RNA", at positions 338 to 795 of the family's 1533-position model. The record is from RNAcentral.
CCUACGGGAGGCAGCCGUGAGGAAUAUUGGUCAAUGGGCGCGAGCCUGAACCAGCCAAGUAGCGUGAAGGAUGACUGCCCUACGGGUUGUAAACUUCUUUUAUAAAGGAAUAAAGUGAGGCACGUGUGCCGUUUUGUAUGUAAUUUAUCAAUAAGGAUCGGGAAACUCCGGGCCAGCCGCCGCGGUAAUACGGAGGAUCCGAGCGUUAUCCGGAUUUAUUGGGUUUAAAGGGAGCGUAGAUGGGUUGUAAAGUCAGUUGUGAAAGUUUGCGGCUCAACCGUAAAAUUGCAAUUGAUACUGGCAGUCGUGAGUACAGUUGAGGUAGGCGGAAUUCGUGGUGUAGCGGUGAAAUGCUUAGAUAUCACGAAGAACUCCGAUUGCGAAGGCAGCUUACUAAACUGCCACUGACAUUGAUGCUCGAAAGUGUGGGUAUCAAACAGGAUUAGAUACCCCAGUAGUC